GCCUGGUGUGGUGGCACACACCCGUAAUCCCAGUGGCUUGGGAGGCUGGGGCAGGAGGACCACAAGUUCAAAGCCAACUUAGAGAGGCCCUAAGCAACUCAGUGAGAUCCUGUCUCUA
Molecule: small RNA, 118 nt
Filed under: Marmota monax (woodchuck)
Lineage: Eukaryota; Metazoa; Chordata; Mammalia; Rodentia; Sciuridae
Source: RNAcentral